CAGCCGCCCGGUAAUACGUAGGGUGCGAGCGUUAAUCGGAUUUACUGGGCGUAAAGCGUGCGCAGGCGGCCCGUUAAGACAGGUGUGAAAUCCCUGGGCUCAACCUAGGAAUUGCGCUUGUGACUGGCGGGCUCGAGGUCGGUAGAGGGGGGUGGAAUUCCUGGUGUAGCAGUGAAAUGCGUAGAGAUCAGGAGGAACACCGAUGGCGAAGGCAGCCCCCUGGGCCUGUACUGACGCUCAUGCACGAAAGCGUGGGGAGCAAACAGGAUUAGAUACCCUGGUAGUCCACGCCCUAAACGAUGGGUACUAGCCGUUUGGUGCGCGAGAGCGCUGAGUGGCGAAGCUAACGCGUGAAGUACCCCGCCUGGGGAGUAAGGCCGCAAGGUUGAAACUUAAAGGAAUUGGCGGG
RNAcentral lists this ribosomal RNA (409 nucleotides) under uncultured microorganism. RNAcentral's name for it is "bacterial SSU rRNA". It matches the Rfam family "Bacterial small subunit ribosomal RNA", at positions 512 to 917 of the family's 1533-position model. The record is from RNAcentral.